Molecule: long non-coding RNA, 487 nt
Organism: Cheilinus undulatus (humphead wrasse)
Lineage: Eukaryota; Metazoa; Chordata; Actinopteri; Labriformes; Labridae
Exons: 4
Source: RefSeq, a predicted model, not a curated record
UGGACCUGAGUUUUUGGGGGAACACAGGUGGAAUCUGAAAAAAAUAACAUGACGAAUCCCCUAAAAUUAACAAUUACGAGUGCAUUCAGCUCUUUAAUUUCAGUGACUGAACUAAAAACCACAGUCCAGCUGUUACUGAGGGUCAGACGCCUCAUGUCCACUCAUUUAUGUGAAGCUGGAACCCCAAAGUCACUUCAUGGGAUCGGUCUACUACCUGGAGCCUUCUGACACAGAGACCAUUAGGAGAAGGAUGUGCUGGUGAUGUCAGGUACAGGCAGGUAAAGGUGCUGAUCUGAGGGAGUCAGAGGAAGGAGCUCUUAUUGACCUGAAACUCAGUUAAACCUCGGCCUCAUCAAGGCUCUAGUCUUGUGGCAGCCUUGUCCGUUUCCUUUUUUAAAGCCAGACCUACGCUCUAUAAAGAUGAACAGAAUUAAAAAAGAGUGACAUGUAAAGCAUAAAGUGAAAAAGACAAAAACACAAUGUUCAC